CAAAGAGUCGAGUUGUUUGGGAAUGCAGCUCAAAAUGGGUGGUGAACUCCAUCUAAAGCUAAAUAUUGGCGAGAGACCGAUAGCGAACAAGUACCGUGAGGGAAAGAUGAAAAGCACUUUGGAAAGAGAGUGAAACAGUACGUGAAAUUGUUGAAAGGGAAACGCUUGAAGUCAGUCGCGUCGACCGAGACUCAGCCUCGCCUUGGCUUGGUGUACUUCUCGGCUGACGGGCCAGCAUUGAUUUCGUCCCUCGGAUAAUGGCGAGAGAAAGGUGGCACCCCUCGUGGGUGUGUUAUAGUCUCCUGUCGCAUACGAGGGAUGGGAUCGAGGACCUCAGCAUGCACCUCUCGGUGCCGGGGCUUUGGCCCACGAUACGUGCUUAGGAUGUUGGCGUAAUGGCUUUAAACGACCCGUCUUGAAACACGGACCAAGGAGUCUAACAUGCCCGCGAGUGUUCGGGUGGAAAACCCGUGCGCGAAAUGAAAGUGAAAAGUUGGGACCUCUGUCGUGGAGGGCACCGACGCCCGGACCAGACCUUCUGUGACGGAUCUGCGGUAGAGCGUGCAUGUUGGGACCCGAAAGAUGGUGAACUAUGCCUGAAUAGGGUGAAGCCAGAGGAACU
This 622-nucleotide ribosomal RNA is filed under the name Lactifluus putidus. RNAcentral describes it as "partial large subunit ribosomal RNA". It matches the Rfam family "Eukaryotic large subunit ribosomal RNA", at positions 258 to 863 of the family's 3401-position model. The record is from RNAcentral. Lineage: Eukaryota; Fungi; Basidiomycota; Agaricomycetes; Russulales; Russulaceae.